RNAcentral lists this ribosomal RNA (496 nucleotides) under uncultured bacterium. Its description in RNAcentral is "partial 16S ribosomal RNA". It matches the Rfam family "Bacterial small subunit ribosomal RNA", at positions 30 to 523 of the family's 1533-position model. The record is from RNAcentral.
AUUGAACGCUGACGGAAUGCUUUACACAUGCAAGUCGAACGGUAGAGGGGGCAACCCCUCGAGAGUGGCGAACGGGUGAGUAAUAUAUCGGAACGUGCCCAGUCGUGGGGGAUAACGUAGCGAAAGUUACGCUAAUACCGCAUACGAUCUAAGGAUGAAAGCGGGGGAUCGCAAGACCUCGCGCGAUUGGAGCGGCCGAUAUCAGAUUAGGUAGUUGGUGGGGUAAAGGCUCACCAAGCCAACGAUCUGUAGCUGGUCUGAGAGGACGACCAGCCACACUGGAACUGAGACACGGUCCAGACUCCUACGGGAGGCAACAGUGGGGAAUUUUGGACAAUGGACGCAAGUCUGAUCCAGCCAUUCCGCGUGCAGGAUGAAGGCCCUCGGGUUGUAAACUGCUUUUGUACGGAACGAAAAGGUCUCUCUUAAUACGGGGGGCUCAUGACGGUACCGUAAGAAUAAGCACCGGCUAACUACGUGCCAGCAGCCGCCGCGG